AACGCACCUUGCGCUCUAGGGCUAUUCCUUAGAGCAUGCUUGUUUGAGUGUCGCGUACCUCUCAACCCCCAACUUUAUAAAAAAAGGUUGUGUGAGGGUUGGAUCGUGGCGUCUUGUCAGGACUUUUAUGGUUCCGACUGCGCUGAAAUGCAACAAGCUGUAUCCUUGACGUGUUGGCGGCUUGACCCGUUGUUGUAACCUUUCAAAAACUCAAUGGGGACGCCCGUCGGAAGGAGCUUACCAAAAAAUCAAAUGAUCAUACCUUUGACCUCAAAUCAAGUAGGACUACCCGCUGAACUUAA
This 302-nucleotide unclassified non-coding RNA is filed under the name uncultured fungus. RNAcentral describes it as "partial contains 5.8S ribosomal RNA, internal transcribed spacer 2, and large subunit ribosomal RNA". The record is from RNAcentral. Lineage: Eukaryota; Fungi.